This 2062-nucleotide long non-coding RNA is filed under the name Cyanistes caeruleus (blue tit). RNAcentral's name for it is "lncRNA (ENSCCEG00000006257.1)". Lineage: Eukaryota; Metazoa; Chordata; Aves; Passeriformes; Paridae. The record is from RNAcentral.
CACCUGGCAGCCUCAGUUCCUGGUUCUGCUCUAGAGGGGCGUUUGUACCUGGAAAAUGCCUGAGGCCAGGGGACAGCAGCAGCACACACAAACACCUCAGGGCAAAGAUUGCUAUCCUGAAAUGUGGUCAUGACACAAAGCAGCGCUGCUGUGACUACAGAUGUAGAGAUGUACCCACCCUGAGCGGUGCAGUCAGACACAGACAUCCAGGCAGUUUGACUGCAGCAGUCGCAGCAGGGAGCGUCCCCCCUGCAGCAGCUGCUGUCUCCAGCUCUGUGACGGAAUCUGCAGGACACGUGGACAAGCACACACCUCUACUGCUUUCAGCUGCUACAGCUAACAAAACCCAAAUAUAGAUGGAGUUGCUCAAGUAAAACAUGUCUUUCAUCAACAUGUCUUGGUAUGGGGAGAUUAAGUCCACUGGAAAGAGAACCCUUGCUGUGGCACAAGGAAAAAACUCCAGCAGCAAGGCAUUGCAGGGAGCCAGCUGGACCAAUACUGUGCCCCCAUCCUCUCCUCCAACAGGAUGGGCUCCUGGGAUGUGCCUGUAGACCUGCUCCAUCCCAUCCAACUCUCUCCUGUCCAUCUGGCUUCUGCUGCAAGGGCUUCCUCCAGCCCUGGGAUGACAGCUGCCUACUGGCACAUGGGCCAUCACUCUGUUCCUAUCCACUAUCCCAUAGCAACUCAAUGUUCCUUAUGCAAGGAGAUCAUAAGUGCCACUAAAAUCCAAAUCAUCUUUGCUGAGGACUAAAAGAUCCCAUCCACAUGAGUGAGCUGAGUCUGUGCUUCUAUAAAUUGUUCCCAAAUGUUUGCUCAUGCCAUCCACUUCCACAGUGACUGCCUAGGGACUCACACCCUGCUUUCAUCUGAGUGAUUCACCAUCAGAAUGUCCUGACCAAGACCAUGUUCUAACCACGGUCAGAAAAACAUUGUUUUAUGCAUUUGUCACUUUCUCUGUAAGAUAAUACCCUCACCUUAGUUCAGCUGGAUCAGAAGGAUGAAUGAAUUAUUAAUCAGAUAUAAUAAUUCAGAUCUGGGGGAGGGGAGAAGCACCAACAUUUAUGAAUUAUCUUAUGAAUACAAUAUAAAUUAUUCAGCAGCUAUACAUCCUUCUCACAAAGGAAAUCAAAUAUUUUUUGGCUGUAGUAGGCUUGCAGACUCCUAAACAGAGAAAGAAAGAAAGAAAGAUAAAUCCUAAAACAUAAAUGCAAACAAAAAAUGUAAGUAACCGUGGUUUUGAAAGACCUCAGUGGGGAAGUUUUCCCAUGUCACAUUCACCUGUGACUUUGCCCAGCAUUUUAGGGGAAAAAAACCUGGUUUUUUUCUUAAGACAAACAUUUGUGAAGCUCUUGUUUUACUUGGGUAAGUUCAUUUCAUUGUAUUUGUUUAUUGCCUAUUUGUGUGCGUGUGUAAUGAAAUCUCAUCCAUUCUGUAAUAUGCUAACUUUCAUAAAUUAGAACAAAACACCUUUAAGAUUAAAAUUGUAUUCCUGCCUGUAGUGAUUUUACCAUUAAUUUAACAAAGCCAGAACUCAAUCCUAAAAUUUCAGAAAUUGGGGGAAUGACUAUACGCAGAAUUUUGAACCCAAUGGACUUAUUAUUUUCCUUUUUAAGCUCACACUCUUUCACAGCUGUAAAGGCUUGUGGUUUAAAACAGAAUGGCAGCUUGUGUGAGUUAGGCAAGUGAGGUCUUUCUGACCAAAUUGAAGAUUUUUUUUUCUUUCUUUACAAACCCUAGGGGAAAACAAACAUUCCUUUCUACUUUACUUUGUUAGCUGCAGUAUCUCCCACUCAUUGGUGUACUUCAGCAAAGAAAUCGUUCUGCCAAAUGCAAGUAAAGUGUACUGAAAGAACUUAACUGAUCUGUUGAUGGAUCAUGUAAAUACUCUGUUUAAAGGGGUACUGAUUGUAGAGAAAAUUAUAAGCAUUUUAAGAGACUCUUUUUUCAUUGACAGCAAUAUUCAAUAUUAGCAACCCAUUUUAUGAGCAAUACAAUCAUGCAAAAGAAAUGCUUACAUUCACUGCAAAAUAAAAAAGUGCAAAAUUUAGUUUAGAGGGCGGAA